Molecule: ribosomal RNA, 466 nt
Filed under: uncultured bacterium
Lineage: Bacteria
Description: partial 16S ribosomal RNA
Rfam family: Bacterial small subunit ribosomal RNA
Source: RNAcentral
GACGAACGCUGGCGGCGUGCUUAACACAUGCAAGUCGAGCGGAAAGGCCCCGCUUGCAGGGUACUCGAGUGGCGAACGGGUGAGUAACACGUGGGUGAUCUGCCCUGCACUUCGGGAUAAGCUUGGGAAACUGGGUCUAAUACCGGAUAGGAGCCAUCUUUAGUGUGGUGGUUGGAAAGUUUUUUCGGUGUAGGAUGAGCUCGCGGCCUAUCAGCUUGUUGAUGGGGUAAUGGCCUACCAAGGCGGCGACGGGUAGCCGGCCUGAGAGGGUGUACGGCCACAUUGGGACUGAGAUACGGCCCAGACUCCUACGGGAGGCAGCAGUGGGGAAUAUUGCACAAUGGGCGCAAGCCUGAUGCAGCGACGCCGCGUGGGGGAUGAAGGCCUUCGGGUUGUAAACUCCUUUCGCUAGGGACGAAGCUUUUUUGUGACGGUACCUAGAGAAGAAGCACCGGCUAACUACGUG